AUUGAACGCUGGCGGCAUGCUUUACACAUGCAAGUCGAACGGCAGCGCGGGCUUCGGCCUGGCGGCGAGUGGCGAACGGGUGGGUAAUACAUCGGAACGUGCCCAGUAGUGGGGGAUAGCUCGGCGAAAGCCGGAUUAAUACCGCAUACGACCUGAGGGUGAAAGCGGGGGAUCUUCGGACCUCGCGCUAUUGGAGCGGCCGAUGGCAGAUUAGCUAGUUGGUGGGGUAAAGGCCUACCAAGGCGACGAUCUGUAGCUGGUCUGAGAGGACAACCAGCCACACUGGGACUGAGACACGGCCCAGACUCCUACGGGAGGCAGCAGUGGGGAAUUUUGGACAAUGGGCGAAAGCCUGAUCCAGCAAUGCCGCGUGUGUGAUGAAGGCCUUCGGGUUGUAAAGCACUUUUGGCGGGAACGAAAAGGACUGUGCCAAUACCACGGUUCGAUGACGGUACCCGCAGAAUAAGCACCGGCUAACUACGUG
Molecule: ribosomal RNA, 484 nt
Filed under: uncultured bacterium
Lineage: Bacteria
Description: partial 16S ribosomal RNA
Rfam family: Bacterial small subunit ribosomal RNA
Source: RNAcentral